UACGUAGGGUGCAAGCGUUAAUCGGAAUUACUGGGCGUAAAGCGUGCGCAGGCGGCUUUGCAAGACAGAUGUGAAAUCCCCGGGCUUAACCUGGGAACUGCAUUUGUGACUGCAUGGCUGGAGAGCGGCAGAGGGGGAUGGAAUUCCGCGUGUAGCAGUGAAAUGCGUAGAUAUGCGGAGGAACACCGAUGGCGAAGGCAAUCCCCUGGGCCUGCACUGACGCUCAUGCACGAAAGCGUGGGGAGCAAACAGG
RNAcentral lists this ribosomal RNA (253 nucleotides) under uncultured bacterium. RNAcentral describes it as "partial 16S ribosomal RNA". It matches the Rfam family "Bacterial small subunit ribosomal RNA", at positions 524 to 776 of the family's 1533-position model. The record is from RNAcentral.